GUUUCCUUAUUUUUUUUUCUUUCAAAUUUUCUUUUUUGGUAAAUUUCUGAUCAUGAACUAUCCACGUUUUAGGAUUCAUUCAAUUUCGAUCAUCUGAUUUUUCGAUUAACCUUUCAACUCAAGGAUUGUCAGUUGAAUCAUUGAUUUUCUGUAAACCCUAAAAAAUAUGUACAGCAAUUUCAAGGAACAAGCGAUCGAGUACGUCAAGCAAGCGGUUCAAGAGGACAAUGCUGGCAACUACAACAAGGCUUUCCCUCUCUACAUGAAUGCCCUCGAGUACUUCAAGACCCAUCUCAAGUACGAGAAGAACCCAAAGAUCCGAGAAGCUAUCACCCACAAAUUCACCGAGUAUCUCCGCCGCGCCGAGGAGAUCCGUGCCGUUCUAGACGAAGGUGGAUCCGGGCCCCGAUCGAACGGCGAUGCAGCUGUCGCCACGAAGCCCAAGACCAAACCCAAAGACGGAGAGGGCAAAGGAGAUGGAGAGGACCCGGAGCAAUCCAAGCUCCGAGCUGGGUUAGACUCUGCUAUCGUAAGGGAAAAGCCUAACGUUAAGUGGUCCGAUGUUGCUGGCCUUGAAAGUGCCAAACAAGCGUUGCAGGAAGCUGUGAUUUUGCCCGUCAAGUUUCCACAGUUCUUCACUGGAAAGAGGCGACCGUGGCGAGCUUUUCUGCUCUAUGGGCCUCCUGGAACUGGGAAAUCGUACUUGGCCAAGGCUGUUGCUACUGAAGCAGAGUCUACCUUUUUCAGUGUGUCUUCAUCGGACUUGGUCUCGAAGUGGAUGGGUGAAAGUGAAAAGCUAGUAUCGAACCUUUUUGAGAUGGCACGUGAGAGUGCUCCGUCAAUCAUUUUCGUGGAUGAGAUAGAUUCUCUGUGUGGUCAACGUGGAGAAGGCAAUGAGAGCGAAGCUUCAAGACGUAUCAAAACAGAGCUUCUUGUGCAAAUGCAGGGCGUUGGACACAAUGAUGAGAAAGUCCUUGUGCUGGCAGCAACAAAUACACCAUAUGCUCUUGAUCAGGCUAUCCGGCGACGUUUUGAUAAGCGUAUCUACAUCCCCCUACCGGAUGUGAAGGCUCGGCAGCACAUGUUCAAAGUGCAUUUGGGAGAUACUCCUCAUAAUUUGAAUGAAGCUGAUUUUGAAUACUUAGCUCGCAAGACAGAGGGAUUUUCUGGUUCGGAUGUGGCUGUCUGUGUAGGUCAAGGAUGUUCUGUUUGAACCUGUUAGAAAAACCCAAGAUGCCAUGUUCUUCUUCAAGUCUGCUGAUGGGUCGUGGAUGCCAUGUGGGCCUAAACAAUCUGGUGCCAUUCAGAUUACAAUGCAGGAUUUAGCAGAAAAAGGGCUAGCGGAAAAGAUUAUUCCACCGCCGAUAUCAAGAACAGAUUUCGAGAAGGUACUAGCAAGACAACGACCGACAGUGAGCAAGUCUGAUCUUGAGGUUCAUGAGAGAUUCACAAAGGAAUUUGGAGAGGAAGGUUGAUGAUCAAAUGGUUCGGCAUCUCUAGUGUCAGUGAGAAGCUGAGAGUUCCCGGUUAUGUAUGUACUAAGAAGAGCUAAUCGACUCUGGUUUGAUGCAUGUCAUUUAAUCUUUUUUUUUCUCUAAUUGUGUAAAAUAUUUCAGAGAUGAUUGUUGCCUGAGAUGGUGUAGUCGGUGUCCAGAUUACACUCUUGGGUAUAUAAUAUAUUCAUAAUUUUCCCCUCUA
Eutrema salsugineum is the source of this 1698-nucleotide RNA transcript. It is a transcript of the gene named protein SUPPRESSOR OF K(+) TRANSPORT GROWTH DEFECT 1, with no coding region annotated. The record is from RefSeq and is a predicted model, not a curated record. The transcript has 8 exons. NCBI's taxonomy places the organism in Eukaryota, Viridiplantae, Streptophyta, Magnoliopsida, Brassicales, Brassicaceae.